This 135-nucleotide ribosomal RNA is filed under the name uncultured eukaryote. RNAcentral describes it as "partial 18S ribosomal RNA". It matches the Rfam family "Eukaryotic small subunit ribosomal RNA", at positions 1299 to 1458 of the family's 1831-position model. The record is from RNAcentral.
UGGUGGAGCGAUUUGUCUGCUUAAUUGCGAUAACGAACGAGACUCUGGCCUACUAACUAGAAGAUAGUUCUUCGAGACUGUCAUACUUCUUAGAGGGAUAAGGGGAUUGAAGCCCCAAGAGAUUGAGCAAUAACA